RNAcentral lists this long non-coding RNA (671 nucleotides) under Homo sapiens (human). Its description in RNAcentral is "HSALNT0069647". The record is from RNAcentral. Lineage: Eukaryota; Metazoa; Chordata; Mammalia; Primates; Hominidae.
GCCAUCCUCGCCUGCCUUCUCGCGCUGUUUCUAGCUCUCGCCAUCCCUCGGCGUACUCUUCCUCUCCUCCGAGUCAGAGUACCCUGGAGGGAUAAUGCUCUGCAGCACUGGCUAGAACUUCCAUCCCUGUGGUGAAUAAGAGUGAUGAAAGUGGACACCAUCGUAUUAUUGAAUUGAAGGGCCUUCAUGGGGCUUUGAAUUCAGCCUCAAACAUUGUGAUAAUCCGAUCCUGACACUUGCCCUCCCCUCAUUCACUCUUUUAACAAUCCCAAGAGAGUGCAGGACUGAGAUCCGAAAAUGUUAUUAUGGAGGGGAAAUAAAGGUUAUUUUGAAUGCUUCAAGGUCACGUGACUUGUAAGAAGAAGUCAGUUGCUAUGUACAAAGUCCUACUACUCUAAGACUGCCAUACCAUGAGAAGCCCAACCUAGCCAUGUGGAGAGGUCAUGUGAAGGAGAACUGAGUCUUCCAGCCAGCAACCCCAGCUGAGCUUCCAGCCAACAAACAGCACUAACUUGCAUGGGAGAAGCUGUCCAGGAAGUGAAUCCUUGAGCUCCAAUUGAGCUGCCUCAAGCUGGUGUCACGUGGAGCAGAGAUGAGCUGUCCCUGACAUACCUUGCACAAAUUUCAGAAACAUAAGUAAAUAAAAGAAAUAUUUGUAUUUUAAGUCAACA